RNAcentral lists this ribosomal RNA (288 nucleotides) under Triticum aestivum (bread wheat). RNAcentral's name for it is "partial small subunit ribosomal RNA". The record is from RNAcentral. Lineage: Eukaryota; Viridiplantae; Streptophyta; Magnoliopsida; Poales; Poaceae.
AUGAUACAAACGGCUCAUAAGAGAAAGCUACCUAUGGUGGCCCUUAAGUUGGAUUUUCAAAAAGCCUUUGACACGGUCAGCUGGCCCUGCCUCUUCAGCAUCCUCUCUGCUAGAGGCUUUCCUCAACGCUGGAUCUGUUGGAUAGAAUCACUACUUACUACUGCAACUUCAAAAGUUCUGCUGAAUGGGGAGUUGGGAGACUCCUUCGCUACUAGGAGGGGUUUUCGGCAAGGCGAUUCCAUUUUACCAUACCUCUUCAUUCUUGUGGCUGAUGUGCUGCAACGUUUA